GAUGAACGCUGGCGGCGUGCCUAAUACAUGCAAGUCGAGCGAACGGACGAGGAGCUUGCUUCUCUGAUGUUAGCGGCGGACGGGUGAGUAACACGUGGAUAACCUACCUAUAAGACUGGGAUAACUUCGGGAAACCGGAGCUAAUACCGGAUGAUAUUUUGAACCGCAUGGUUCAAAAGUGAAAGACGGUCUUGCUGUCACUUAUAGAUGGAUCCGCGCUGCAUGAGCUAGUUGGUAAGGUAACGGCUUACCAAGGCAACGAUGCAUAGCCGACCUGAGAGGGUGAUCGGCCACACUGGAAGGUAGACACGGUCAAGACUCCUACGGGAGGGAGCAGUAGGGAAUCUUCCGCAAUGGGCGAAAGCCUUACGGAGCAACGCCGCGUGAGUGAUGACGGUCUUCGGAUCGUAAAACUCUGUUAUUAGGGAAGAACAUAUGUGUAAGUAACUGUGCACAUCUUGACGGUACCUAAUCAGAAAGCCACGGCUAACUACGUG
RNAcentral lists this ribosomal RNA (497 nucleotides) under uncultured bacterium. Its description in RNAcentral is "partial 16S ribosomal RNA". It matches the Rfam family "Bacterial small subunit ribosomal RNA", at positions 28 to 507 of the family's 1533-position model. The record is from RNAcentral.